GGAAUCUGAGGACCCCGGCUGCCAUCUCUCUCCCCUCAUCUCUCUUCCAGAAGAAAGGGAUGAGGUCUUGGAUAACCUCUCUGCCCUGGUCAGUGCCGCCAGCCAGAAAUCCAUGAAAGCUACCACAUCCAAGGACAAGAGGAGAAAGAAGCACCUGUUCUGUGAUAGGCAUUCUAGAUGCCCUGGGGGCAAAGCUCAAGGUCUACUCUUAUGAAAGGCAGUAAACUAAUCCUGUGUGUUAUAUAGUCCCUUGGCUUUCUGGGGAUAGCACAUUUCAGUCCUCUGUACUUAGUACUUAUCUAAAUGUUUCAUCUUUUGACCUAUAUUUCUUAGAAAUUUAAUGAGUGCCUAGCUUGUUUUCCUGUGCUUUUUAGCUCAAGUAAUAUAUUUAUCAAUGUUGACUUUUUCUUUCUUGAACCUACAGAUUUUUUUUUCCUGGAAGUUUUAUUUUUGAAGAGCUGGGGAUAGAACAGAGGACCUUGCACUUGCUAGGCAAGCACUAUACCACUGAGCUCCAUUCCCAAUCCUCUUUCUUAGACCUUGUUGGCAACAGGUCCACCCUGGCCCCUGGAGCCCUACCUCCACUAGUUUGUUCUGCAUGCCAGUGUGGCCAGCUCACAAGGCCAUGGCGAACUUGCGGUUUUUCUGUUCCUGCUUGUCCGUCUGAGACAUAUGUAUCCCACGGGAAUGCCUUGACCUUUUCUGGUCUGAUGGACUUAUUGUUAAGGGAGGUUUCGGUACCUGACAAUAAUAGAUGUUGAAACUAAAUUUCUCCCCCCUCCCUCCUGCUUUUGGGUAGUUUUCCACUUCUGCUGCUUGGGGUAUAAAAAAAGGUGUGUUAGCAAU
Molecule: long non-coding RNA, 846 nt
Filed under: Marmota monax (woodchuck)
Lineage: Eukaryota; Metazoa; Chordata; Mammalia; Rodentia; Sciuridae
Source: RNAcentral